Molecule: non-coding RNA, 156 nt
Filed under: bovine gut metagenome
Description: Lysine riboswitch
Rfam family: Lysine riboswitch aptamer
About the family: Riboswitches are metabolite binding domains within certain messenger RNAs that serve as precision sensors for their corresponding targets. Allosteric rearrangement of mRNA structure is mediated by ligand binding, and this results in modulation of gene expression. This family includes riboswitches that sense lysine in a number of genes involved in lysine metabolism, including lysC.
Source: RNAcentral
GCAAUAGAGGCGCGAACGCGAUGAGUACCUGUCCGGAGCCUGCGGAGGCUGUGAGGGGCGGGGAAAGGCAAGUUCGCCGAAACCAUCGGUCUCGCAAACCGGUGAGUUGGGGUACCGUCGAACAGGCGGUGCACUCCCGCUUUCGGACAAAAGCGG